UGAAAUGCUCCACGGAAACUUUACUGCGAAAACCUAUCACGCUCAAACUUCUUCUUCUUCCCCCUCAAUAUAAUCGUUCGUGAAGCAAUUUACGGUAAAACCAUUUCGCAAAGUGUCCAAUUUAGGGUUAGUGAUUUCGCAAGAGCUUCUUUAAGCUUGCUCUUCUCUACACUGUUCUUUGAUCGGUUGGAUUAAUUUAAGAGGUUUUAGGUGGAACAAAUUUUUCGGAGAUUACAAAUUUGAGACAACUCUGUUCACACCAAACAACUCCUAAGUAAUCUCUUAAUCCUAGUUCAGCACAAAUCAAAUUAAUUGCUUUAAUUGUUGCAGCAGUCACUCUUUCUAAUUUCACAGGUAAUCAAACUCACACUAGUUGUAGUAUAUCACUCGCAUUUUUGUCCUUAAACAAAACCAGCAAGUAUAAUGUCAUUGUAAUUUCUAUUGAGACAAUAAGAACCUACUCGAAAACUCAUACUAAUAGGAAAAUAUAUAACACUUCAAGAAAUAAAAAAGAUAGGAAGUGAAUAAAAAGUAAGAGAUGUUGUUGUUAAUUAAGGAGAUAGAGGCUUGUAAAAAAAAGAAGAUCUAGACUAAUACAGGAUAUGAACUGGUUUUUGGAUGUUUUCAAUCAUUCUUAACUGUAGUUUUUAUUUUUUGGACAAAUGUAAAAAAAAUCAGAGUAAGAUAUUUUACUUAAAGUAUUCAUAAGGAAUUUAGGAUAAAAAACAACUUUUAAGACAUUUUACUGGAAUCAGUAAUGACAAACAGGGCAUUAAAAUAUUACAAUAGCAGUAGAACUUUGUUAAUCACAAGCUUUAGUAAAUUGUUUCUUGUAAACAAAGUGUUUCUUAGAGUAGGCGAACUUAAAGCAGUUUCAAUGGUAACAUCAAUGAUUGUUUAUGAUAUUUGUUUUGCUAUUUUUUAAUUAGAGAAAAAAAAGGAAGUAAAGGUGCAGUUAAUCUAGUUAUCUAUUUGUUUGUACUUUGAUUUUAAUAAUACAAAAAAAGAAGAAAGGAAUUUUGAUUAGAGUUUCAAAAUCAAGGUUGAAGCGAUUGCUUGAUGUAUGCCAGAAGUUGAGUCACAUGGCUGUGUUUGCUGGGUUUUGUCAUUUGUGUUUUAGGAUGAGAGGUUAGGGGCUAUUCGGUUUCAGAAAAUGUUUUUUUGUUUUUCACUUUUAAUUACAUGAAUGUGACCAUGCUUUUACUUUGUUUCAUCUAAUAGGAGUAAAAUUGACAAAAUUUCUUUGGCCUCUAAAUAUAUUAAUUAAUUAAUUAAUUUUUUUGUUCUUUUGGUACAAAAAUGUCAAUUAUAGCACGCAGAGGCAUCCAUUCAAUGCCAAGUCUAAAUGCUGCAGAAGUAUUUGCUACUUUACUAGAGAAAGGCCAAAGUCGUGUCAUAGAUGCUUCCCUUACUCUUAUUCGAGAAAGAGCAAAGAUUAAGGCAUGCCAUAUUUGUGUUUAUUUUGCUUCACUAUAUUUGUGUUUAUUUAGUUUUGUGAACCAUAAUUUAAUAUUUUAUUUUGGUGAUUUUGAUUAUAAGAUUUGCAUGAAAAAAUAUAAAUGCAUAAGCUAUUUUUCUCCAAGGAGAACUUGUGCGUGCUUUGGGAGGUGCUAAAGCAACUUCAACUCUUCUUGGAGUUCCUUUGGGACAUAAUUUAUCUUUCCUUCAAGGUCCUACAUUUGCCCUGGCUCACAUUUGCGAGGCCAUUUGGUGUGAUAGUACAAAGUCAACUACUGAAGAAGGCAAAGAAUUACAAGAUAUGCACGAGUGCUAACUGAUGUUGGUGAUGUCCCUAUUUGAGAAAUUCGAGAUUGUGCGGUAGAUGAUCACAGAUUAAUGAAUGUAAUUGGUGAAUAUGGAAAGUUAGUAAUGGAUGAGGUAAAUUGGGAA
This is a non-coding RNA of Cajanus cajan (pigeon pea), 1890 nucleotides long. Lineage: Eukaryota; Viridiplantae; Streptophyta; Magnoliopsida; Fabales; Fabaceae. The record is from RefSeq and is a predicted model, not a curated record.